Eptesicus fuscus (big brown bat) is the source of this 532-nucleotide long non-coding RNA. RefSeq lists it as uncharacterized. The transcript has 3 exons. NCBI's taxonomy places the organism in Eukaryota, Metazoa, Chordata, Mammalia, Chiroptera, Vespertilionidae. The record is from RefSeq and is a predicted model, not a curated record.
CUAAUACUGUGUACAGCUGAUGAUAGUUGGUUUGGCCUGUAGACUAUCUAUCACUUAUAAACCAGUAGCAGACUGAACUGUGGAACAACCGAACAAUCUAACAACAGAACAACCGGUCACUAUGACAUGUGCUGACCACCAGGAGGCGCACACAGAAAAUGGCAGGUGUCGACAGCAGGUGGCAGAACACGGAACAUGGCGGGCAUCGGCUGAGGUGGGAUGGUGGAGCAGAAAACAACUCCGAGACCAUGUGGAUUCCUGCAACAGAGAGAAGUGACAGGAGUGCUCCAGCCAUGAAGACAGAAGAGAAACAGUCCAGAGAUGGAAGAUGCUGACGAUGCCUUGCCACACUAGCAGUCAGCAGAUGUGUGUCACUGCAGAUUGCCCAGGACCAAACCAGAGAGGGUCAGACCUGCAUCACCACCAUUUGUCCACCAUCCAGAACUGAAAUAUCAUUGCUGUUAUGUACACAUAAAGAACUGUUGGACAUAGAAAUUGGGACUCAAAAGAACUGUUGGCCUAGAAACUCACU